GCGGGAAUAGCUCAGUUGGUAGAGCGAUACCUUGCCAAGGUAUAGGUCGCGAGUUCGAAUCUCGUUUCCCGCUCCA
This 76-nucleotide transfer RNA is filed under the name Sulfuricella denitrificans. RNAcentral describes it as "tRNA-Gly". It matches the Rfam family "tRNA". Rfam says of the family: Transfer RNA (tRNA) molecules are approximately 80 nucleotides in length. Their secondary structure includes four short double-helical elements and three loops (D, anti-codon, and T loops). Lineage: Bacteria; Pseudomonadati; Pseudomonadota; Betaproteobacteria; Nitrosomonadales; Sulfuricellaceae. RNAcentral also lists the same sequence under 22 other names. The record is from RNAcentral.